This 1064-nucleotide ribosomal RNA is filed under the name Escherichia coli. RNAcentral's name for it is "partial 23S ribosomal RNA". It matches the Rfam family "Bacterial large subunit ribosomal RNA", at positions 418 to 1486 of the family's 2925-position model. Lineage: Bacteria; Pseudomonadati; Pseudomonadota; Gammaproteobacteria; Enterobacterales; Enterobacteriaceae. The record is from RNAcentral.
CGGGACACGUGGUAUCCUGUCUGAAUAUGGGGGGACCAUCCUCCAAGGCUAAAUACUCCUGACUGACCGAUAGUGAACCAGUACCGUGAGGGAAAGGCGAAAAGAACCCCGGCGAGGGGAGUGAAAAAGAACCUGAAACCGUGUACGUACAAGCAGUGGGAGCACGCUUAGGCGUGUGACUGCGUACCUUUUGUAUAAUGGGUCAGCGACUUAUAUUCUGUAGCAAGGUUAACCGAAUAGGGGAGCCGAAGGGAAACCGAGUCUUAACUGGGCGUUAAGUUGCAGGGUAUAGACCCGAAACCCGGUGAUCUAGCCAUGGGCAGGUUGAAGGUUGGGUAACACUAACUGGAGGACCGAACCGACUAAUGUUGAAAAAUUAGCGGAUGACUUGUGGCUGGGGGUGAAAGGCCAAUCAAACCGGGAGAUAGCUGGUUCUCCCCGAAAGCUAUUUAGGUAGCGCCUCGUGAAUUCAUCUCCGGGGGUAGAGCACUGUUUCGGCAAGGGGGUCAUCCCGACUUACCAACCCGAUGCAAACUGCGAAUACCGGAGAAUGUUAUCACGGGAGACACACGGCGGGUGCUAACGUCCGUCGUGAAGAGGGAAACAACCCAGACCGCCAGCUAAGGUCCCAAAGUCAUGGUUAAGUGGGAAACGAUGUGGGAAGGCCCAGACAGCCAGGAUGUUGGCUUAGAAGCAGCCAUCAUUUAAAGAAAGCGUAAUAGCUCACUGGUCGAGUCGGCCUGCGCGGAAGAUGUAACGGGGCUAAACCAUGCACCGAAGCUGCGGCAGCGACGCUGAUGCGUUGUUGGGUAGGGGAGCGUUCUGUAAGCCUGUGAAGGUGUGCUGUGAGGCAUGCUGGAGGUAUCAGAAGUGCGAAUGCUGACAUAAGUAACGAUAAAGCGGGUGAAAAGCCCGCUCGCCGGAAGACCAAGGGUUCCUGUCCAACGUUAAUCGGGGCAGGGUGAGUCGACCCCUAAGGCGAGGCCGAAAGGCGUAGUCGAUGGGAAACAGGUUAAUAUUCCUGUACUUGGUGUUACUGCGAAGGGGGGACGGAGAAGGCUAUG